UUGUGUUGUAUUCAUUUCUAUGAGAUAAUAAUUUUGUUCAUAAUGAAAAUAAUUCGAAUUGAACGACAUCCAUAUUUCGUCCUUUAUUAUUUUCAAAACGAUCGAGAAAAAUAACAAUCACGUUGAAUGAAUUCAUUUCAUAGAGACAAGGAGAGAGAGAGAGAGAGAGAGAGAGAGAGAGAGAGAAAGUUAUCGUGGACAAUAAAAAUAGAAUUAACAAAAAGAAAAAAAAAAUACAGAAAAAGAAAAAGAAGAGAAAAUGGGAUGAAAAUAAAAAUAAAAAAACAAAAAAAUAUAGUGAAUGAACAGGAAGGAAGAUCAAUUGGCAUGCGGUAGAAGGUAAAGGAUAAAGAGAUGGCUGCCUCGUGUCGAUGAUGGUGCUCCCUUCUAACAUCGAGCUCUGUAAUUAUCGCCAUCGGCCGUGGGAAUUGAAUUACGAGUCGAUAAAGAUCGAAGGAAGCGAUACGCAGGCGAUAGGUUUUGACAGAAAGGCAAGGUAAGAUCAUCGAUCCAAGCAAGUCGCAGGCGCAAACAGGUUGCUGUGGUCGCGAGAACGCGCCAGGAGAAGAGAUCGUGAAAGCAUCGAACAGGUUCGCAGGAGGUUCCAGAGAAGAGUGAGCACGCCCGCGAACAGCUUCAAAAGAUAAUAGCUCGCGCGCAUGCGCUCAGACCGGGCGAAUGUAUUCUCGAGUAUCAAGUCAAAAUGAUGAUGAUGGGGUUUGAACGACGUCGACGCCUCGAAGCUAAAGAGAGAAGAAAAGGAGAUGAGUUGCAGAUAAAUGCUACAACGAGGGAUAAGAGAGAAGGAGAUAAAAAAGGCAGUGAAAGAGAAAGAGAGAGAGAGAGAGAGAGAGAAAGAUGACAGAUUAUACAAUAUUGCCAGCUAACAUCAGAGCUAAGUUCCCGGAAGCAUGAGGUCAUCUCUGGCGAGCUAACAACUUCCUCUUAACUCCAAAAUGAAGAUGCUUUCUCUUGGGAAUCGUAAACGACGAUCGCGAUUCGACGUUUCUUAAAGAUAAUCUACAUUGAGAUUUGAGAAACUAAGUGUUUUUAUCGAGAGUGUCUCUCGUUCGACUGAACAGGAUCAUCCAUUAAAUACUAUGAGAAUACGAGCUCGUUAUCAUCGUAUUAAUAAUAAUUCAUAGGAAGAGAAAUAACGUUCAGAUUGACCGGAGAUUGACGGGGGAAGAAUAUUGUACAAGACAAAGGAGUCCCAUAUGAAGGCACACGCACGGAAGUCAACUGUCCGUGGACGACAAAUCGUUUAACUUCAAUAUGACUCAUGGUACACUUCGUUGGAUAAUAUAAUUAUUCUUCGAGUUCAUCAAAGCAGCAUGAAAUCUUAUCAGAAGGAUGGGAACACUUGGAAAUCAUCGGACCAUCAAUUUAAGAGACACAAAGAAGACAGAAUUAUCAUCAAGAGGAUAUGGAACAAUCGGAAAUCAUUUGUAACAUUAUAAAAUACAAGUAUCUGUAAAAUAAAACAUUAUGAAAGAGAGAAAAUGAGAGAGACAAAGUGAGUGUGUAUGUGUAUGUGUGUGUGAGAGAGAGAGAGAGAAAGAGAGUGCGGGAGCGACUAAAAAAGAAGAAAAAAAGAGAGAAGAAAACGGAGAGAGAGAGAGUGUGAGAGAGACAAGAAAAGAGAGAAUUAAACUUCAAUAUAGCAAUACUUAAUGACCAACAAUGCAUUGUAUUGCGUUAACUUACAAAUAAUUAUAUAAUUUUGUACUAUGCUCAUAUUAUAUCAUAUUAUACUGCAAAUUAUCCAUAUCGAAAGCGAUUAAUUGUAUAAUUAUUGAAUGCAAUGUAUUUCUUAUGUAUUCCAGAUGAAAAAAAUAUAAAUAAAAACGUUUUAUAUUAA
Long non-coding RNA from Vespa velutina, 1861 nucleotides. RefSeq lists it as uncharacterized. Lineage: Eukaryota; Metazoa; Arthropoda; Insecta; Hymenoptera; Vespidae. The record is from RefSeq and is a predicted model, not a curated record. The transcript has 5 exons.